UUGUAUAAUGGGUCAGCGACUUAUAUUCUGUAGCAAGGUUAACCGAAUAGGGGAGCCGAAGGGAAACCGAGUCUUAACUGGGCGUUAAGUUGCAGGGUAUAGACCCGAAACCCGGUGAUCUAGCCAUGGGCAGGUUGAAGGUUGGGUAACACUAACUGGAGGACCGAACCGACUAAUGUUGAAAAAUUAGCGGAUGACUUGUGGCUGGGGGUGAAAGGCCAAUCAAACCGGGAGAUAGCUGGUUCUCCCCGAAAGCUAUUUAGGUAGCGCCUCGUGAAUUCAUCUCCGGGGGUAGAGCACUGUUUCGGCAAGGGGGUCAUCCCGACUUACCAACCCGAUGCAAACUGCGAAUACCGGAGAAUGUUAUCACGGGAGACACACGGCGGGUGCUAACGUCCGUCGUGAAGAGGGAAACAACCCAGACCGCCAGCUAAGGUCCCAAAGUCAUGGUUAAGUGGGAAACGAUGUGGGAAGGCCCAGACAGCCAGGAUGUUGGCUUAGAAGCAGCCAUCAUUUAAAGAAAGCGUAAUAGCUCACUGGUCGAGUCGGCCUGCGCGGAAGAUGUAACGGGGCUAAACCAUGCACCGAAGCUGCGGCAGCGACACUGUGUGUUGUUGGGUAGGGGAGCGUUCUGUAAGCCUGUGAAGGUGUGCUGUGAGGCAUGCUGGAGGUAUCAGAAGUGCGAAUGCUGACAUAAGUAACGAUAAAGCGGGUGAAAAGCCCGCUCGCCGGAAGACCAAGGGUUCCUGUCCAACGUUAAUCGGGGCAGGGUGAGUCGACCCCUAAGGCGAGGCCGAAAGGCGUAGUCGAUGGGAAACAGGUUAAUAUUCCUGUACUUGGUGUUACUGCGAAGGGGGGACGGAGAAGGCUAUGUUGGCCGGGCGACGGUUGUCCCGGUUUAAGCGUGUAGGCUGGUUUUCCAGGCAAAUCCGGAAAAUCAAGGCUGAGGCGUGAUGACGAGGCACUACGGUGCUGAAGCAACAAAUGCCCUGCUUCCAGGAAAAGCCUCUAAGCAUCAGGUAACAUCAAAUCGUACCCCAAACCGACACAGGUGGUCAGGUAGAGAAUACCAAGGCGCUUGAGAGAACUCGGGUGAAGGAACUAGGCAAAAUGGUGCCGUAACUUCGGGAGAAGGCACGCUGAUAUGUAGGUGAAGUCCCUCGCGGAUGGAGCUGAAAUCAGUCGAAGAUACCAGCUGGCUGCAACUGUUUAUUAAAAACACAGCACUGUGCAAACACGAAAGUGGACGUAUACGGUGUGACGCCUGCCCGGUGCCGGAAGGUUAAUUGAUGGGGUCAGCGCAAGCGAAGCUCUUGAUCGAAGCCCCGGUAAACGGCGGCCGUAACUAUAACGGUCCUAAGGUAGCGAAAUUCCUUGUCGGGUAAGUUCCGACCUGCACGAAUGGCGUAAUGAUGGCCAGGCUGUCUCCACCCGAGACUCAGUGAAAUUGAACUCGCUGUGAAGAUGCAGUGUACCCGCGGCAAGACGGAAAGACCCCGUGAACCUUUACUAUAGCUUGACACUGAACAUUGAGCCUUGAUGUGUAGGAUAGGUGGGAGGCUUUGAAGUGUGGACGCCAGUCUGCAUGGAGCCGACCUUGAAAUACCACCCUUUAAUGUUUGAUGUUCUAACGUGGACCCGUGAUCCGGGUUGCGGACAGUGUCUGGUGGGUAGUUUGACUGGGGCGGUCUCCUCCUAAAGAGUAACGGAGGAGCACGAAGGUUGGCUAAUCCUGGUCGGACAUCAGGAGGUUAGUGCAAUGGCAUAAGCCAGCUUGACUGCGAGCGUGACGGCGCGAGCAGGUGCGAAAGCAGGUCAUAGUGAUCCGGUGGUUCUGAAUGGAAGGGCCAUCGCUCAACGGAUAAAAGGUACUCCGGGGAUAACAGGCUGAUACCGCCCAAGAGUUCAUAUCGACGGCGGUGUUUGGCACCUCGAUGUCGGCUCAUCACAUCCUGGGGCUGAAGUAGGUCCCAAGGGUAUGGCUGUUCGCCAUUUAAAGUGGUACGCGAGCUGGGUUUAGAACGUCGUGAGACAGUUCGGUCCCUAUCUGCCGUGGGCGCUGGAGAACUGAGGGGGGCUGCUCCUAGUACGAGAGGACCGGAGUGGACGCAUCACUGGUGUUCGGGUUGUCAUGCCAAUGGCACUGCCCGGUAGCUAAAUGCGGAAGAGAUAAGUGCUGAAAGCAUCUAAGCACGAAACUUGCCCCGAGAUGAGUUCUCCCUGACCCUUUAAGGGUCCUGAAGGAACGUUGAAGACGACGACGUUGAUAGGCCGGGUGUGUAAGCGCAGCGAUGCGUUGAGCUAACCGGUACUAAUGAACCGUGAGGCUUAACCUUACAACGCCGAAGGUGUUU
This 2354-nucleotide ribosomal RNA is filed under the name Escherichia coli. RNAcentral describes it as "partial 23S ribosomal RNA". It matches the Rfam family "Bacterial large subunit ribosomal RNA", at positions 608 to 2925 of the family's 2925-position model. Lineage: Bacteria; Pseudomonadati; Pseudomonadota; Gammaproteobacteria; Enterobacterales; Enterobacteriaceae. The record is from RNAcentral.